GACGUAGGGGGCCAGCGUUGUUCGGAAUUACUGGGUGUAAAGGGUUCGUAGGCGGUGUGGCAAGUCGGGAGUGAAAUCUCUGGGCUCAACCCAGAGUCUGCUUCCGAAACUGCUGUGCUUGAGUGUGGGAGAGGCGCGUGGAAUUGCAGGUGUAGCGGUGAAAUGCGUAGAUAUCUGCAGGAACACCCGUGGCGAAAGCGGCGCGCUGGACCACUACUGACGCUGAGGAGCGAAAGCCAGGGGAGCAAACGGG
Molecule: ribosomal RNA, 253 nt
Filed under: uncultured bacterium
Lineage: Bacteria
Description: partial 16S ribosomal RNA
Rfam family: Bacterial small subunit ribosomal RNA
Source: RNAcentral